RNAcentral lists this ribosomal RNA (211 nucleotides) under Solenopsis sp. 15 GR-2021. RNAcentral's name for it is "partial large subunit ribosomal RNA". The record is from RNAcentral. Lineage: Eukaryota; Metazoa; Arthropoda; Insecta; Hymenoptera; Formicidae.
GAAUUUUAUAUAUUUUUAUUUAAUAAAAUUUAUAUUGAAAUAGAUAAAAAAAUAUUUUAUUGGGAGGAUAGUUAAAUAUUAAAAACUUUAAUUAAAAUUUAAAUAUAAAUUAAUAAAUUUAAGAAUGGUUAAAUAAAUUAAUUAAGAAUUAAUUACCUUAGGGAUAACAGCGUAAUAUUUUUGGAGAGUUCAUAUUGAUAAAAAUGUUUGC